GCUGAUGUAGCUCAGUAGGUAGAGCGCAUCCUUGGUAAGGAUGAGGUCCCCGGUUCGAAUCCGGGCAUCAGCUCCA
RNAcentral lists this transfer RNA (76 nucleotides) under Eubacteriales bacterium. Its description in RNAcentral is "tRNA-Thr". It matches the Rfam family "tRNA". Rfam says of the family: Transfer RNA (tRNA) molecules are approximately 80 nucleotides in length. Lineage: Bacteria; Bacillati; Bacillota; Clostridia; Eubacteriales. The record is from RNAcentral. RNAcentral also lists the same sequence under 1 other name.